AUUGAACGCUGGCGGCAGGCUUAACACAUGCAAGUCGAGCGGAGUGAUAGUGCUUGCACUAUCACUUAGCGGCGGACGGGUGAGUAAUGCUUAGGAAUCUGCCUAUUAGUGGGGGACAACAUCUCGAAAGGGAUGCUAAUACCGCAUACGUCCUACGGGAGAAAGCAGGGGAUCACUUGUGACCUUGCGCUAAUAGAUGAGCCUAAGUCGGAUUAGCUAGUUGGUGGGGUAAAGGCCUACCAAGGCGACGAUCUGUAGCGGGUCUGAGAGGAUGAUCCGCCACACUGGGAAUGAGACACGGCCCAGACUCCUACGGGAGGCAGCAGUGGGGAAUAUUGGACAAUGGGGGGAACCCUGAUCCAGCCAUGCCGCGUGUGUGAAGAAGGCCUUAUGGUUGUAAAGCACUUUAAGCGAGGAGGAGGCUCUUUUGGUUAAUACCCAAGAUGAGUGGACGUUACUCGCAGAAUAAGCACCGGCUAACUCUGUGCCAGCCGCCGCCGUAA
RNAcentral lists this ribosomal RNA (503 nucleotides) under uncultured bacterium. RNAcentral's name for it is "partial 16S ribosomal RNA". It matches the Rfam family "Bacterial small subunit ribosomal RNA", at positions 30 to 523 of the family's 1533-position model. The record is from RNAcentral.